AUGGAAAGGCAGACCCCCAUCGGCGUGGGAACGUGGAGCUGGUGGGAUUGUGCCACGGUCUGGGCCUCUCUCCCCCUCGUGGUGCUCGUCCACAGCUCAGGUUCCCUGGUCCAGGCAGCGGUGACUCAGCCGCCCUCGGUGUCAGCGAACCUGGGACAAACCGUCCAGAUCACCUGCUCUGGGCUUAGCAGCAGCAGCAGUGCUGCCUGGUUCCAGCAGAAGGUUCCUGGCACUGCCCCUGUCACUGUGAUCUAUAGCAGCAACAACAGACCCUCGGACAUCCCUUCGCGAUUCUCUGGCUCCCAAUCCGGCACCACGGCCACGUUAACCAUCACUGGGGUCCAAGCCGAGGACGAGGCUGUCUAUUACUGUGGUGGCACCGACAGCAGCUAUAGUGGUGACACAGAGCAAUGGGGAAGUGAUACAAAACCCCCCGCCAUCGCAGGGGCCAGUUAG
Non-coding RNA from Grus americana (Whooping crane), 456 nucleotides. The record is from the annotation of a RefSeq genome assembly. Lineage: Eukaryota; Metazoa; Chordata; Aves; Gruiformes; Gruidae.